Molecule: ribosomal RNA, 549 nt
Filed under: uncultured bacterium
Lineage: Bacteria
Description: bacterial SSU rRNA
Rfam family: Bacterial small subunit ribosomal RNA
Source: RNAcentral
AAUAGAUACCCGGGUAGUCCACGCCGUAAACGGUGGGCACUAGGUGUGGGCGACAUUCCACGUCGUCCGUGCCGCAGCUAACGCAUUAAGUACCCCGCCUGGGGAGUACGGCCGCAAGGCUAAAACUCAAAGGAAUUGACGGGGGGCCCGCACAAGCGGCGGAGCAUGUGGCUUAAUUCGACGCAACGCGAAGAACCUUACCAAGGCUUGACAUACACCGGAAACGUCCAGAGAUGGGCGCCCCCUUGUGGUCGGUGUACAGGUGGUGCAUGGCUGUCGUCAGCUCGUGUCGUGAGAUGUUGGGUUAAGUCCCGCAACGAGCGCAACCCUUGUCCCGUGUUGCCAGCAGGCCCUUGUGGUGCUGGGGACUCACGGGAGACCGCCGGGGUCAACUCGGAGGAAGGUGGGGACGACGUCAAGUCAUCAUGCCCCUUAUGUCUUGGGCUGCACACGUGCUACAAUGGCCGGUACAAUGAGCUGCGAUACCGCGAGGUGGAGCGAAUCUCAAAAACGCCGGUCUCAGUUCGGUAUUGGGGUCGUGCAACUCGA